GACGAACGCUGGCGGCGUGCUUAACACAUGCAAGUCGAACGGUAAGGCCCUUCGGGGUACACGAGUGGCGAACGGGUGAGUAACGCGUGAGUAACCUGCCCUUCACUCUGGGAUAACAGUUGGAAACGGCUGCUAAUACCGGAUAUUCAGCUCCUGUCGCAUGGUGGGGGUUGGAAAGUUUUGGUGGUGGAGGAUGGGCUCGCGUCCUAUCAGCUUGUUGGUGGGGUGAUGGCCUACCAAGGCGUCGACGGGUAGCCGGCCUGGGAGGGCGACCGGCCACAUUGGGACUGAGAUACGGCCCAAACUCCUACGGGAGGCAGCAGUGGGGAAUAUUGCACAAUGGGCGGAAGCCUGAUGCAGCAACGCCGCGUGCGGGAUGACGGCCUUCGGGUUGUAAACCGCUUUCAGCAGGGACGAAGCGCAAGUGACGGUACCUGCAGAAGAAACACCGGCUAACUACGU
RNAcentral lists this ribosomal RNA (462 nucleotides) under uncultured bacterium. Its description in RNAcentral is "partial 16S ribosomal RNA". It matches the Rfam family "Bacterial small subunit ribosomal RNA", at positions 28 to 506 of the family's 1533-position model. The record is from RNAcentral.